UAAUACGUAGGAGGCGAGCGUUGUCCGGAUUUACUGGGCGUAAAGGGCGUGUAGGCGGCCCGUUAAGUUGCUGCUGAAAUACCCUGGCCUAACCAGGGGGGGAGCAGCGAUACUGGCGGGCUUGAGGGCAGCAGAGGAAGGUGGAAUUCCCGGUGUAGUGGUGACAUGCGUAGAUAUCGGGAGGAACACCAGUGGCGAAGGCGGCCUUCUGGGCUGUACCUGACGCUGAGGCGCUAAAGCGUGGGGAGCGAACCGGAUUAGAUACCCGGGUAGUCCACGCCCUAAACGAUGGACACUAGGUAUGGGGGGUAUCGACCCCCUCCGCGCCGAAGCUAACGCUUUAAGUGUCCCGCCUGGGGACUACGGCCGCAAGGCUA
This 377-nucleotide ribosomal RNA is filed under the name uncultured bacterium. Its description in RNAcentral is "bacterial SSU rRNA". It matches the Rfam family "Bacterial small subunit ribosomal RNA", at positions 521 to 896 of the family's 1533-position model. The record is from RNAcentral.